UGAGUACGAGAUGCUACGGCAUCGAAGCAGUCUAUGUCAUACUUCCAAGAAAAGCUUGCACUGUCAGAAACAGAUAAUGCCUGUACCAUAACCGACACAGGUGGGUAGGUAGAGUAUACUAAGGGGCGCGAGAUAACUCUCUCUAAGGAACUCGGCAAAAUGACUCCGUAACUUCGGGAGAAGGAGUGCCUUAUUUUUAAGGUUGCAAUAACAAGAUCCAAGCAACUGUUUACCAAAAACACAGGUCUCCGCUAAGUCGUAAGACGAUGUAUGGGGGCUGACGCCUGCCCAGUGCCAGAAGGUUAAAGAAGUCGGUUAGCAUUCGCGAAGCUGGUAACUGAAGCCCUGGUGAACGGCGGCCGUAACGAUAACGGUCCUAAGGUAGCGAAAUUCCUUGUCGGGUAAGUUCCGACCCGCACGAAAGGCGUAAUGAUUUGGAUACUGUCUCGGAGAGGGGCUCGGUGAAAUAGACUUGUCUGUGAAGAUGCGGACUACCUGCACCUGGACGGAAAGACCCUAUGAAGCUUUACUGUAACUUGAAAUUGAAAUUGGACUUUAUUUGCGCAGUAUAGGUGGGAGGCGUUGAAAAUAUUCUUGCGGGAAUAUUGGAGCCAUCAGUGAGAUACCACUCUUGUAAUGUUAGAUUUCUAACUUUAUAUCAUUAUCUGGUUAAAGAACAGUUUCAGGCGGGCAGUUUGACUGGGGCGGUCGCCUCCCAAAUGGUAACGGAGGCGCACAAAGGUUUCCUCUGAACGGGUAGAAAUCGUAUCUAGAGUGUAAAGGCAUAAGGAAGCUUGACUGUGAGACCUACAAGUCGAGCAGGGACGAAAGUCGGUCUUAGUGAUCUGACGGUGCUGAGUGGAAAGGCCGUCACUCAACGGAUAAAAGUUACUCUAGGAUAACAGGCUGAUCUCCCCCAAGAGUUCACAUCGACGGGGAGGUUUGGCACCUCGAUGUCGGCUCAUCGCAUCCUGGGGCGGUAGUACGUCCCAAGGGUUGGGCUGUUCGCCCAUGAAAGCGGUACGCGAGCUGGGUUCAGAACGUCGUGAGACAGUUCGGUCCAUAUCCGGUGUAGGCGUUAGAAUAUUGAGAGGAGCCUUCUUUAGUACGAGAGGACCGAGAAGGACAUACCUCUGGUGUACCAGUUAUCGUGCCAACGGUAAACGCUGGGUAGCUAUGUAUGGAGUGGAUAACCGCUGAAAGCAUCUAAGUGGGAAGCCCACCUCAAGAUAAGUAUUCUCAU
RNAcentral lists this ribosomal RNA (1243 nucleotides) under metagenome. Its description in RNAcentral is "bacterial LSU rRNA". It matches the Rfam family "Bacterial large subunit ribosomal RNA", at positions 1564 to 2817 of the family's 2925-position model. The record is from RNAcentral.